GAAGCACGCCAGACCGCCGCUGGUGCAAGCUGGGAAACCAGGCACUGGAGGAACGUCCGGACUGCACAGGGCAGCGUAGCAGCUAACGGCUGUCCACCGCGAGGUGAGGAUCAGAGCAACAGAGACGAGUUCGAGCGUAGAGGCGCCCACCAGGGGUGUUCUGCGGUUCGCCAGCGCAAGCUGGCGCGGCUGGCGCAAGCCAGACGGUGACGGGCGGUCAGCCCGGCACGACGCAGUCACCUCGGGCGCUUCGCGCCCGAGGUGAAACGGGCAAUCUCUACGCGCAGCAACACCAAGUAGGCACACGUUGACGGGGCCCCCGGAGUGUGCGGGUAGGUGGCAUCGAGCCGAGGUGGCGACACCCGGCCCAGAGUAAUGGCGGUCACGCCGCGGGCAACCGCGGUGCACAGAAUCCGGCUUAUCGGCGUGCUUCACAC
Molecule: RNase P RNA, 437 nt
Filed under: Pulveribacter suum
Lineage: Bacteria; Pseudomonadati; Pseudomonadota; Betaproteobacteria; Burkholderiales; Comamonadaceae
Description: Bacterial RNase P class A
Rfam family: Bacterial RNase P class A
About the family: Ribonuclease P (RNase P) is a ubiquitous endoribonuclease, found in archaea, bacteria and eukarya as well as chloroplasts and mitochondria. Its best characterised activity is the generation of mature 5'-ends of tRNAs by cleaving the 5'-leader elements of precursor-tRNAs.
Source: Rfam by way of RNAcentral